Molecule: ribosomal RNA, 655 nt
Filed under: Choerophryne sp. SJR12013
Lineage: Eukaryota; Metazoa; Chordata; Amphibia; Anura; Microhylidae
Description: partial 16S ribosomal RNA
Rfam family: Bacterial large subunit ribosomal RNA (bases 1-460)
Source: RNAcentral
CCUCGUACCUUUUGCAUCAUGGUUUAACUAGUUUAACCAAGCAAAACGAACUUUAAGUUUGACCCCCCGAAACUAAGCGAGCUACUUCAAAACAGCCUUAUGGGCCAACCCAUCUCUGUUGCAAAAGAGUGGGAAGAUUUUCAAGUAGAGGUGACACACCUACCGAGCCUAGAGAUAGCUGGUUAUUUAGGAAAAGGAUAUAGUCCAAUUUUAAACCUCAACACAACUUUAAAUAUACCUCUAGCUUUAAAAUUUAUUCAAAUAAGGUACAGCCUAUUUGAAACAGGAUACAACCUAUAAUGCAGGGUAAUGUUUUUAUACGUGACAAAGUAGGCCUAAGAGCAGCCACCUUAUAAAAGCGUUAUAGCUUCAUCACACACAUUAUCAAUCCCAAUCAAAAUCCAAAACCCUCCCUCUAUACUGAAUGAUUCCAUAUCUAUAUGGAAGACCUUAUGUUAAAACUAGUAACAAGAAUACAAUUCUCCUCAAAGCACGUGUAAGCCGGAAUGAACAAUUCACCGGCAUUUACCGCUAAUGAAUAAAUAGUAGUAACAACACAAGAAAAUCCUACUCACUCAAGCGUUAAUCUAACACUAGAACUUUACAGGAAGAUUAAAAAAAGAGGAAGGAACUCGGCAAACAAUAACUCCGCCUG